This 395-nucleotide ribosomal RNA is filed under the name Geokichla camaronensis graueri. Its description in RNAcentral is "Zoothera camaronensis graueri partial 12S ribosomal RNA". It matches the Rfam family "Bacterial small subunit ribosomal RNA", at positions 794 to 1384 of the family's 1533-position model. Lineage: Eukaryota; Metazoa; Chordata; Aves; Passeriformes; Turdidae. The record is from RNAcentral.
GCCUGGCCCUAAAUCUUGAUGCUCGAUAUUACCUGAGCGUCCGCCCGAGAACUACGAGCACAAACGCUUAAAACUCUAAGGACUUGGCGGUGUUCCAAACCCACCUAGAGGAGCCUGUUCUGUAAUCGAUGAUCCACGAUAUUACCUGACCAUUCCUUGCACGAAACAGCCUAUAUACCGCCGUCGCCAGCCCACCUUUCCUGACAGCCCAACAGUGGACGCAAUAGCCUAACCCGCUAGCAAGACAGGUCAAGGUAUAGCCUAUGGAAUGGAAGCAAUGGGCUACAUUUUCUGAGAUACAACAUACGGAAAGGGGUAUGAAACUGCCCCUGGAAGGCGGAUUUAGCAGUAAAGAGGGAGAAUCGAGCCCUCUUAAAGCCGGCUCUGGAGCACGU